Molecule: transfer RNA, 75 nt
Filed under: Bacillota bacterium
Lineage: Bacteria; Bacillati; Bacillota
Also listed under: 1 other name
Description: tRNA-Ala
Rfam family: tRNA
About the family: Transfer RNA (tRNA) molecules are approximately 80 nucleotides in length. Their secondary structure includes four short double-helical elements and three loops (D, anti-codon, and T loops).
Source: RNAcentral
GGGCGUGUGGCUCAGAGGGAGAGCGUUCGGUUCGCAUCCGAAAAGUCGCGGGUUCGAAUCCCGCCACGUCCACCA